CCCUUAGAUGUUCUGGGCUGCACGCGCGCUACACUGGUGCGUUCAGCGAGUUUAGCACCUUAACAGAUAUGUUUGGGUAAUCUUCUGAAAACGCACCGUGAUGGGGAUCGAUUAUUGUAAUUAUUAAUCGUCAACGAGGAAUUCCUAGUAAGUGUGGAUCAUCAGUUCGCGCUGAUUACGUCCCUGCCCUUUGUACACACCGCCCGUCGCUCCUACCGAUUGGGUGUGCUGGUGAAAUGUUCGGAUCGGCCGUUUGUCGCGGUUUCCGCGUCAUGUGGCUGAGAAGUUCAUUAAACCCUCCCACCUAGAGGAAGGAGAAGUCGUAACA
This 328-nucleotide ribosomal RNA is filed under the name uncultured eukaryote. RNAcentral describes it as "partial 18S ribosomal RNA". It matches the Rfam family "Eukaryotic small subunit ribosomal RNA", at positions 1470 to 1796 of the family's 1831-position model. The record is from RNAcentral.